Drosophila pseudoobscura is the source of this 1220-nucleotide long non-coding RNA. RefSeq lists it as uncharacterized. The transcript is spliced from 2 exons. The record is from RefSeq and is a predicted model, not a curated record. Lineage: Eukaryota; Metazoa; Arthropoda; Insecta; Diptera; Drosophilidae.
CUCCUAUGCUAUUAAUAAUAUCCUAUUCCCGCAGUCGGCUAUCCACCAUCGGUGGGGUCCUAUCUGAGGUCGCUACAGAUAUCGACAGUUGGCACCAAGGGUGCCCUUGGUAGGGCAGCUGCCGUAUUUGUUUGGGCAACGCAUAGUUUCCACAGGGUCAAUAGCUUAUGUUAUAGUAGCGCGGAUGGCAUUGCGCUCAAGUUGUAUGCAUGUCUUUCGUAGUUGCGCUGGGCAGUACAGCGAUCAACGAACCUCUUGUAACGCUCUUAUUAGGCGGGUUCGUAUGCACGUUCCGCUCGGCUUGGAUCGCGAAGAAUAAACAUAAUAAAGUAUGCUUUUGAAUAAAAAAAAAAAAUGUAUACAAUAAUUUUGCCUUUUUUUAAUUUGGUACUGUCCUUAUCUCCAUGCCAUACAUCUCCUUCUUCAAAAAUUUCGGGACCCAGGAAUACCUCAUGAGCCUUAAUGGGAUGUUUGGUAAAUUUUUUCAAGAAUUGAAAUUUCGCCACCUAUACAAAACCACAAAAAUCGUGAAACAAAGACUAUGCAUCCCGUUGACGAUACAAUAACAUUAAAAUAAGAAAUUUAGACGAUAUUGUCAAAAGUCACACCAAAAAAGUUUGCAAAUGUUUUCAUUUUAUUCAAAAGCAUACAUUAUUAUGUUUACAAUUUGUAAUGAUAAAAAUGGAACUUGUUGAAAAAUCGCGGCAUACAUACAGCAAGUAUUUACCCUUUUCUCAGUAUUCUGAUAUUUUAACAGGUCUUAACAUUAUAUCGGAGCCUGAGAAUAAUCUUUAAAAGCAUGCAAUGAAUCUAGACAUUAAAUAUGUAUGCUGCUUAAGUCAAUUUAAGUCCAGAACUGUCAACAACACCUCCUCCGUAUCUCUUCUGUAGCUUACCCGCUCUUAUGGGAGGCGACAUCGUAUAGUCGGAGGAGCCGUCUUCGAUGACCUGGACAGCCUGGCGACCGUGCCGCUGGGGAAACUGGUACUCUUUAUUGAGGCCUCGGGAUGGUUUAAAAAAUCUCCCUGAUUAGAGGACACCAUCACAUGACAAGUAUGGGCAUCACAAUGGGCAGAUCUGCCUCCAAGUUAUCUCGACCGCGGCCUAGCAGCCCUAUAUACCUAACCUAACCUAUAACAGAAUCUCUAAAUAUGAAAAAGAGAGGUGAUUUUACUUCUUUAAAAGCUAGAAAAUGCUUAAUUAAAUUCUGUAAAAUUUAA